This 578-nucleotide long non-coding RNA is filed under the name Mytilus galloprovincialis (Mediterranean mussel). Lineage: Eukaryota; Metazoa; Mollusca; Bivalvia; Mytilida; Mytilidae. The record is from RNAcentral.
GAUACUGUAUUUUGCGUUCUACCCUUUUAAGGCCACUUCACAGCUAUCUAAUUUCCUGAUUUUCUAAUUAUAUUGUUGUAGUCUUAUAAGAAAUAAUCAAAGAUCUACAUAUACGCAUUGAUUUAUAUUCGCAUUAUUUUUCUACUCCUGAAAGUCACGAAAAAAAGUGGCUCGUGGAAUAAGUUGGUUUACAGUACACAUUCAGGAUGAGAACAUGUUAGUGUAGUAUGAAAUACAAUCUUGCUUUGAAUUAGGCCGACAUACUGAGCUGUAAACAAGAUAUAAACAGCACGCAGGAAGACUUAUAACCUUUAAUACCCGGAAUCUUUUGUUCAAUCCAAAUGACCAGCUUUUGCUCUUACUCCCUUAUACUGCAUGUUUAUUGAAGAAGCAGCAAAUACCAAUUUUGAAGUCUUGGUUUUAAACCCACGACCUCCUGCUGUACUGGAGGCCAACGGGCUACCUUGAGACCACCAAGGUGGUUUUACGUCAAAGAAGACAGUGAGGAAUGGUGUGUUGAAGUAUAUUAUUUUUUUAAUAAAAUAUCAAUUUUGUUCAAUCUUUAAGACAGAAGUUCA